This 253-nucleotide ribosomal RNA is filed under the name uncultured bacterium. Its description in RNAcentral is "partial 16S ribosomal RNA". It matches the Rfam family "Bacterial small subunit ribosomal RNA", at positions 524 to 776 of the family's 1533-position model. The record is from RNAcentral.
UACAGAGGGGGCAAGCGUUGUUCGGAAUUACUGGGCGUAAAGGGCGCGUAGGCGGCCUGUUAAGUCGAACGUGAAAUCCCCGGGCUCAACCCGGGAACUGCGUCCGAUACUGGCAGGCUUGAAUCCGGGAGAGGGAUGCGGAAUUCCAGGUGUAGCGGUGAAAUGCGUAGAUAUCGUGAGGAACACCGGUGGCGAAGGCGGCAUCCUGGACCGACACUGACGCUGAUGAGCGAAAGCCAGGGGAGCAAACGGG